AGAGUUUGAUCAUGGCUCAGAUUGAACGCUGGCGGCAGGCCUAACACAUGCAAGUCGAGCGGUAGCACAGAGAGCUUGCUCUCGGGUGACGAGCGGCGGACGGGUGAGUAAUGUCUGGGAAACUGCCUGAUGGAGGGGGAUAACUACUGGAAACGGUAGCUAAUACCGCAUAACGUCGCAAGACCAAAGUGGGGGACCUUCGGGCCUCAUGCCAUCAGAUGUGCCCAGAUGGGAUUAGCUAGUAGGUGGGGUAACGGCUCACCUAGGCGACGAUCCCUAGCUGGUCUGAGAGGAUGACCAGCCACACUGGAACUGAGACACGGUCCAGACUCCUACGGGAGGCAGCAGUGGGGAAUAUUGCACAAUGGGCGCAAGCCUGAUGCAGCCAUGCCGCGUGUGUGAAGAAGGCCUUCGGGUUGUAAAGCACUUUCAGCGGGGAGGAAGGCGAUAAGGUUAAUAACCUUGGCGAUUGACGUUACCCGCAGAAGAAGCACCGGCUAACUCCGUGCCAGCAGCCGCGGUAAUACGGAGGGUGCAAGCGUUAAUCGGAAUUACUGGGCGUAAAGCGCACGCAGGCGGUCUGUCAAGUCGGAUGUGAAAUCCCCGGGCUCAACCUGGGAACUGCAUUCGAAACUGGCAGGCUAGAGUCUUGUAGAGGGGGGUAGAAUUCCAGGUGUAGCGGUGAAAUGCGUAGAGAUCUGGAGGAAUACCGGUGGCGAAGGCGGCCCCCUGGACAAAGACUGACGCUCAGGUGCGAAAGCGUGGGGAGCAAACAGGAUUAGAUACCCUGGUAGUCCACGCCGUAAACGAUGUCGAUUUGGAGGUUGUGCCCUUGAGGCGUGGCUUCCGGAGCUAACGCGUUAAAUCGACCGCCUGGGGAGUACGGCCGCAAGGUUAAAACUCAAAUGAAUUGACGGGGGCCCGCACAAGCGGUGGAGCAUGUGGUUUAAUUCGAUGCAACGCGAAGAACCUUACCUGGUCUUGACAUCCACAGAACUUUCCAGAGAUGGAUUGGUGCCUUCGGGAACUGUGAGACAGGUGCUGCAUGGCUGUCGUCAGCUCGUGUUGUGAAAUGUUGGGUUAAGUCCCGCAACGAGCGCAACCCUUAUCCUUUGUUGCCAGCGGUCCGGCCGGGAACUCAAAGGAGACUGCCAGUGAUAAACUGGAGGAAGGUGGGGAUGACGUCAAGUCAUCAUGGCCCUUACGACCAGGGCUACACACGUGCUACAAUGGCAUAUACAAAGAGAAGCGACCUCGCGAGAGCAAGCGGACCUCAUAAAGUAUGUCGUAGUCCGGAUUGGAGUCUGCAACUCGACUCCAUGAAGUCGGAAUCGCUAGUAAUCGUAGAUCAGAAUGCUACGGUGAAUACGUUCCCGGGCCUUGUACACACCGCCCGUCACACCAUGGGAGUGGGUUGCAAAAGAAGUAGGUAGCUUAACCUUCGGGAGGGCGCUUACCACUUUGUGAUUCAUGACUGGGGUGAAGUCGUAACAAGGUAACCGUAGGGGAACCUGCGGUUGGAUCACCU
Molecule: ribosomal RNA, 1528 nt
Filed under: Klebsiella pneumoniae
Lineage: Bacteria; Pseudomonadati; Pseudomonadota; Gammaproteobacteria; Enterobacterales; Enterobacteriaceae
Description: bacterial SSU rRNA
Rfam family: Bacterial small subunit ribosomal RNA
Source: RNAcentral